CAUCACUAGAUCUUGCUGAUAUC
Molecule: microRNA, 23 nt
Filed under: Ptychodera flava
Lineage: Eukaryota; Metazoa; Hemichordata; Enteropneusta; Ptychoderidae
Description: Pfl-Mir-103_5p* (star (passenger))
Source: RNAcentral